GGUGUAGCUCAGUUGUAGAGUAGUUGCCUAGCAUGCAAAAGGCUCUGGGUUUGAUCCCCAAUACC
RNAcentral lists this transfer RNA (65 nucleotides) under Ictidomys tridecemlineatus (thirteen-lined ground squirrel). RNAcentral describes it as "Spermophilus tridecemlineatus (thirteen-lined ground squirrel) tRNA". It matches the Rfam family "tRNA". From Rfam's summary of the family: Transfer RNA (tRNA) molecules are approximately 80 nucleotides in length. Their secondary structure includes four short double-helical elements and three loops (D, anti-codon, and T loops). Lineage: Eukaryota; Metazoa; Chordata; Mammalia; Rodentia; Sciuridae. The record is from Rfam by way of RNAcentral.